RNAcentral lists this transfer RNA (71 nucleotides) under Aquarius paludum. Its description in RNAcentral is "tRNA-Val". The record is from RNAcentral. Lineage: Eukaryota; Metazoa; Arthropoda; Insecta; Hemiptera; Gerridae.
UCAAAUUGUUUCAUUUAGUGAACUUAUUAUUUACAUUAAUAAUUUUGUUGUGCAAUUCAACACGGUUUGAA